Molecule: long non-coding RNA, 1079 nt
Organism: Bradysia coprophila
Lineage: Eukaryota; Metazoa; Arthropoda; Insecta; Diptera; Sciaridae
Source: RefSeq, a predicted model, not a curated record
CCGGCAGAUCUUGGAAUAAGAACGUUGUGGAAUAUAUAUUCGUUAAUGGCUAUGAAUCUCUCAAUUUCGUUGGAAUUAUGGAGUAAAGGAAAAAGUCCUCUACUCGAUUCAUGGCCAUUGUACGGGGACCCUACAACUGUUACGUUGAUUUUAAUUGCAUAUAUCGCCUUCGUAUUCUAUAUAGGACCAAAGGUUAUGAAGAAAAGGGAACCGUUCAAUUUAAAAAAUGUUAUAAUCUUGUACAAUGCACUGCAAGUGUCCUAUAAUUUUUGGGUACUGGGCAGAACAAUCCUUCAUCCGAAUUUUUGGUCAAACUUUUUCCAAUUUGGUUGUACACAAAUGAAUGCCGAACAAGAACAUGACUAUCAUACUAUGCUUUGCAAUGCAUUUUGGCUUAUGACGGUGAAUAAAAUAAUGGACCUCUUGGACACGGUGUUCUUUGUUCUAUGCAAAAAACAGAACCACAUCACUUUCCUACACGUACAGCAUCAUGUCUUGAGUGUUGGUAUUUUAUGGCUAAGUGCAAAAUAUUUCAUGGGACAGGAGUAUACUGUGACAUUUGUCUGUAACACGAUCGUCCACAUGAUUAUGUACUUUUAUUAUUUAGUUGCUGCGCUGGGCCCUGCAUACAAAAAAUAUCUUUGGUGGAAAAAAUAUUUGACAAUGAUCCAAUUGGUUCAGUUUGUGAUUGUAAUUGCCUACAUGGUCGCAUCUUUAUGGUUGAGUUGUGUAUACAAUCGUGCAAUUGUUUGGAUUAUAAUACUCAAUGCUUCACUCAAUUUGGUUUUGUUCCUCAAAUUUUAUUUCAAAACUUACGAUUCAAAAAAGCUGAUAAGUGAAAAAGUUACAGUUUGUGAAAAUGCUGAGUCGGAUGUUUAUGAAAAUUGUAAAAAAGAAAUAUAGGAAAAAUUCGACACAUGUGUGAGAGGAUCGAUGAAUUAGUACGAUUAAUGACGAUAACAAUGUAAUUGUGAGAAACCCGUAGGGCGAUUGCCAUUGAUAAUGACUAUGAAACGUAGUCGAAAUAUUUGGUAAUAAAUACUAAUGAAUGAGCACUACCGACUAAACUUCCUUUAAUU